CGUUGCUUCGGCGGGAACAGACGGCCCCGUGAAACGGGCCGCCCCCGACCAGAGGACCCCUAACUCUGUUUCUAUAAUGUUUCUUCUGAGUAAAACAAGCAAAUAAAUUAAAACUUUCAACAACGGAUCUCUUGGCUCUGGCAUCGAUGAAGAACGCAGCGAAAUGCGAUAAGUAAUGUGAAUUGCAGAAUUCAGUGAAUCAUCGAAUCUUUGAACGCACAUUGCGCCCGCCAGUAUUCUGGCGGGCAUGCCUGUUCGAGCGUCAUUACAACCCUCAGGCCCCCGGGCCUGGCGUUGGGGAUCGGCGGAGCCCCCCGUGGGCACACGCCGUCCCCCAAAUACAGUGGCGGUCCCGCCGCAGCUUCCAUCGCGUAGUAGCUAACACCUCGCGACUGGAGAGCGGCGCGGCCACGCCGUAAAACACCCAACUCUUCUGAAGUUGACCUCGAAUCAGGUAGGAAUACCCGCUGAACUUAAGCAUAUCAAUAAGACGGAGGAAAAGAAACCAACAGGGAUUGCCCCAGUAACGGCGAGUGAAGCGGCAACAGCUCAAAUUUGAAAUCUGGCUCUCGGGCCCGAGUUGUAAUUUGUAGAGGAUGCUUUUGGUGAGGUGCCUUCCGAGUUACCCUGGAACGGGACGCCAUAGAGGGUGAGAGCCCCGUCUGGUUGGACGCCGAACCUCUGUAAAGCUCCUUCGACGAGUCGAGUAGUUUGGGAAUGCUGCUCU
Molecule: ribosomal RNA, 727 nt
Filed under: Fusarium solani
Lineage: Eukaryota; Fungi; Ascomycota; Sordariomycetes; Hypocreales; Nectriaceae
Description: eukaryotic LSU rRNA
Rfam family: Eukaryotic large subunit ribosomal RNA (bases 441-727)
Source: RNAcentral